UCUCUCUGCAGCAGCAGAGGAAGGGCCUGUACCUCCCUACCAAUGACCUGGUGUCCUUAUUUUCUACCCCAAGAGCAGGGAUAUUAGCUGUGUCCAAAUGGGUUCUGAAUUCUACAGACUCAUCAACAUGAGGCAAGGAAUCAUUGAAAACCACCUGUGUCUCCUUUGGGAGAAUGACAUAUCUUUAGUAUUUACGUAGCUUAUUCUUCUAUAUCUACAUAUGCAAAGCUUUCCUUAACAGUAAAGGGUACAUAUGCAUAGUGGGAGGAGAUCAGACCUUUACAAGUGAAGGAAAGCAACUUCAGAAAUGAAUUAUUUUCUUUGCUUUGUUAUUUUUACCAAGACAG
RNAcentral lists this long non-coding RNA (347 nucleotides) under Homo sapiens (human). Lineage: Eukaryota; Metazoa; Chordata; Mammalia; Primates; Hominidae. The record is from RNAcentral.